CAUCCCGUGGGCACACAUCCCCGGGAACUGUACAAUGUGGAAUACUGUAACAUUAGAGCAAACGCACAAGGUGCCUGAAUAACAAAACAAAGGUUGAGAGAGGUGUAUUCUGCUAUGAGAGCGCGGAGAGCUCGCGCUCUCUACGGCUUUCUGAGGGGAACGAGAGCUCCUACUUGAUGCUGCUGGCGGAAAGUGCGCGCUGCAGGGCGACGGCGCAGUCACAUGCGCCCAUCAAAGCCUCUGCUGCAAGCGGGAGGAACCUGGCAGUGACAGGCCGAAUCAAGGCCUACACAGGAAGGAGUACUGGAAGGACUGAGGAGAUCUUGUCUUAAUGUACAGACAGACCAGGAGGCAAGUUGCAGCGUCGACCUCGAUACUGGCUGGCUAGAGCCAUGAGUUAAUUCAAAGGCGAGCUGGCAGCAGAGAGAGGCCACCUUGGGCAUAAGAGGUGAGGCCUACGCUUAACAUCACACCUCCAGCUAACCCCACCCCCAAUCUCCAGCUUCAGCCAGACAUUCUCAAAUUGAAUUAAGGUCCUGUUCUGUGCUGCACCCCCACGGACCCCUUCGAGAGCCCUCCUGAACCCCCUUGGCCCGGUCCUGUUCCCCUCAUCCAGCCGCCUCGGACUAAUUAAAACCGAUGUGGCCUUGUCUUCGCUGGAUUACCCCUAACGAGGAUUCACUGACUCCACCAGCAUGUGCCUCUUGAUGAGAGAGAGAGAGAGAGAGAGAGAGACAGAGACAGAGACAGACAGAAAAAGAAAUGGGAGGAUUUGUCCAGGGAACCUUAGCCUUGAAAUCCAACACUUAAUUCACUACAGAUGAUACAGAAAAGGUGGAAGAGAGAGAGAGAGAGAAAGAGACAAAUAUACUUAUGUUGAUAGUUUAAAUCACUAGUGUGUGUAUUGUUUUAAAAACUGUUAGUGAAACAAUUGAAACGUGGCCUUAUUGUGAAGAGAGUCAUAAAAUGGACCUCUGGACAGCCCUCUAUGAAUCCAUUUGAUUCCAUCAUACAGAGAGAUGAAUGCCAAUUCUCUUUCUUUCUUUCUGUGUGUGCGUGCCAGGGGCAGAGAAAAAAUUAAAUUCUCUGUCUUUGAUAAUGCAUUAAUAAUAAAAUGCAAUGUUA
Oncorhynchus tshawytscha (Chinook salmon) is the source of this 1125-nucleotide long non-coding RNA. RefSeq lists it as uncharacterized. NCBI's taxonomy places the organism in Eukaryota, Metazoa, Chordata, Actinopteri, Salmoniformes, Salmonidae. The record is from RefSeq and is a predicted model, not a curated record. The transcript has 6 exons.